Molecule: long non-coding RNA, 2029 nt
Organism: Cucurbita moschata (crookneck pumpkin)
Lineage: Eukaryota; Viridiplantae; Streptophyta; Magnoliopsida; Cucurbitales; Cucurbitaceae
Exons: 3
Source: RefSeq, a predicted model, not a curated record
AGCUUACAGAUCUAUAAGAUCGUAACAGGCUUCAUGUUGUAGCAGAGCUGAAGCCUAUCUUGAUACUGUCAAACCCACCUCGUCUUGGAGAGAUACCACAAUUGCAGCUGAUGCAUCGAACUUCUAGGAACGCCAUACACAUCAAUUUGGACCCCAUCUACUAAUAACCAAACAACCCAGAACCUACUGAAGAAUUACAAAGUUCGAAGUCCCAAAAGCAAUACAGACUUGAUAGUAAUACCUUGAACAGGUUGAUCGAUGUGACCAACAAUUAAAAUAAUUAAUAAGAGGGUAAAGGAUAGAACGGUUCCAACUAUCAAUAGUAAAACGAUACGGAAGAACAAACUUACCCCAAUAAUGACUAAUAAUGCAUUUUAAAAUAACCGUUAUGUUACAUAUUCCAACCGAAGAUGGAACAUACGCGUCGAUUGUUAAUCGAUAAAUAGGUGAAGACAGGCAAGAGUGAAUGAACAAUUUUAAAAUUUAAAUACCAUUUAUUACCACCUAAUCAUUACUUUACCUUAGCAUAAAGUGAUGGUAGUUUGGUGAAAUCCCUCCUACUGCGAAAACUGUCAUUAAAAAAUCCCGAAAAAGGCUUCAUUACUAUUUAUACAAAACUUGUUUCGAAUCUUCCCUCGUAAUGGUAGUUUUAAUGCUCAAAUGUAAUAAUAAUUACCAUUUUUUACGAACCUCAAAUGUAAAGUCGAGUACCUUGCAUGUCGGAAGUACGAUCAGGCCAAACGCUAUGAACGGAGUAGUUUCUGUCGGUUGAAGUUGCAGAAACGAACGCAGAGAAAGAGAGCAAGAGGAAAACAGACCAGAGAGGGAAGAGACCCCGGGCAAUCCCCGUGCGAUCUCCCCUCGAAACCAAAAUAUACUAUUUUUUUAUUAUGUAUGACCUGCCAUGCAAGCGCACCUGUCAUGGCAAAGGCCGGAUGACAAAGAGCUACCUGGAUUCAACCUCCUCGAAAAAAGAGGUCUAAUCCCGAUAUCUUUUACAUCCACAAACACUCAUCUACUUCUCGGAUGCUUUCAUUAUUUUCAUACAAGAUACAGCUUCCAUCGAAUACUCGUUGCCAGCUCAGCUACAUCACACUGACGAAAUGGAUGUCGAAACUCAUCUCGAUCUGUAAUAACCAGCAGAGCAGAAACGAAUCCAAGAGAUACGCCAAGUGAUACUGCCUCAUGCCAACAUCCAGUACCGUCAACGACUCCAGACCUGUUUGAUUAAAUCGAAACGCCUUUCGUUGCAUAGUAAUAAUAAAGAAAACUAACGGAAUCAAGAACCAAACCCUGUAUUGGCGCGUACGGGAACGUUGACCACUCCUUCAUCGUUGAAGAUAUGCAAAUAGCACACAACAAGAAAAGAAACAACAAUAUUGAAGUCCACGAAUCCCCGUCAGAUCAUAAACCUAUAUGAGGAUAGAUUAAGAACGGAUGUCGAACCUUCUGGAAUUAUACUAAACAACCAGAAUCUGUCACCCAGAUCUAACGACAUCGCCCAACACAAAUCCAACAGAGAAACCAUCCAGUACCUAUAUUGCCUCAACCAACAUCCAGUACCUUAUGUGACUCUAAACCUGUUCGAUGACAGCGAAACGCCUUUCGUUGCAUAGUAAUAAUAAAGAAAAUUAACGGAAUCAAGAACCAAACCCUCUAUUGGCGCGUGCGUGAACGGCAAUCCCUCCAUCGUUGUAAACAUGCAAAUAGCACACGACAACAAAAGAAACAACGAUACGGAAGUCCAAGAACCCCGUCAGAACAUAAACCGAUAUGAGGAUAAAUUAGAUCGGAUGUCGAACCUGCUAAAAUCUAAAUAAACAACCAAAACCCGUCACCGAAGACCGAGUCGCCAAGAGACCGCAAUGAAUUCGUAGAUCUACCCCAGAUCCGUCGAUCUACGACAACACAACAAUCCAAGAAUCGCAUUCAGAGCAUGAACAUGGAAGAUAAUAACUCAGAUCUGAAGUUGAACUCGACAGAAUCAAAAUAAACAAUAAAACUCCGAAACCGAAGACCGAAUCGCCAA